Molecule: long non-coding RNA, 456 nt
Filed under: Salvator merianae (Argentine black and white tegu)
Lineage: Eukaryota; Metazoa; Chordata; Lepidosauria; Squamata; Teiidae
Description: lncRNA (ENSSMRG00000014693.1)
Source: RNAcentral
UUAAGCCUAAUAUAUUUUUAAAGGAGGAAGAGGAGGAUGACAACGACGAGGACAAGGAGGAGAAAAAGAAAAUAGGGACUUAUAAGAGGGGACUGGUGCACUGGAUUCUGGAUCUAACAGACAGACACACACACACUGGAUUCUGGACCGAAAGGUUAGAUAUAAGCAAGGUUCCAAUGAAAGCAAAAUUCACUGGGUGAAGGAAAAAGGAAUCCUUGAAGGUGUUGCUUUAAAAAUUGCUUGACAAGGUUGCAGAAAUAGAAAAGUGAACUAGUGUUGAUGAGGAGACAGUUUAAGGCUGCUUGUUAGCAUAUGCCAAAAGCCUCAAUGUGUGCUCAGAGGUCCCAUCAUUAAUUAAUACAAAGCCAAGUGCCAAAGCAGAUGAAGCCGAGUCAGCUUUGAGUUUUCUUGACUCCAAUGGUUGAUCAAAUUACUUCAAACUGAAUUAAAGUUGUC